GAUGAACGCUGGCGGCGUGCCUAAUACAUGCAAGUCGAGCGAACAGACGAGGAGCUUGCUCCUCUGACGUUAGCGGCGGACGGGUGAGUAACACGUGGAUAACCUACCUAUCAGACUGGGAUAACUUCGGGAAACCGGAGCUAAUACCGGAUAAUAUAUUGAACCGCAUGGUUCAAUAGUGAAAGACGGUUUUGCUGUCACUUAUAGCUGGAUCCGCGCCGCAUUAGCUAGUUGGUAAGGUAACGGCUUACCAAGGCGACGAUGCGUAGCCGACCUGAGAGGGGGAUCGGCCACACUGGAACGGAAACGGGGUCCAGACUCCUACGGGAGGCAGCAGUAGGGAAUCUUCCGCAAUGGGCGAAAGCCUGACGGAGCAACGCCGCGUGAGUGAUGAAGGUCUUCGGAUCGUAAAACUCUGUUAUUAGGGAAGAACAAAUGUGGAAGUAACUAUGCACGUCUUGACGGCACCUAGUCAGAAAGCCACGGCUAACUACGUG
Molecule: ribosomal RNA, 497 nt
Filed under: uncultured bacterium
Lineage: Bacteria
Description: partial 16S ribosomal RNA
Rfam family: Bacterial small subunit ribosomal RNA
Source: RNAcentral